UGAGUACGAGACGCUACGGCGUCGAAGCAGUCUAUGUCAUACUUCCAAGAAAAGCUUGCACUGUCAUAAACAAAUAAUGCCUGUACCAUAACCGACACAGGUGGGUAGGUAGAGUAUACUAAGGGGCGCGAGAUAACUCUCUCUAAGGAACUCGGCAAAAUGACUCCGUAACUUCGGGAGAAGGAGUGCCUUAUUCUUAAGGUUGCAAUAACAAGAUCCAAGCAACUGUUUAUCAAAAACACAGGUCUCCGCUAAGUCGUAAGACGAUGUACGGGGGCUGACGCCUGCCCAGUGCCAGAAGGUUAAAGAAGUUGGUUAGCAUUCUCGAAGCUGAUAACUGAAGCCCUGGUGAACGGCGGCCGUAACAAUAACGGUCCUAAGGUAGCGAAAUUCCUUGUCGGGUAAGUUCCGACCCGCACGAAAGGCGUAAUGAUUUGGAUACUGUCUCGGAGAGGGGCUCGGUGAAAUAGACUUGUCUGUGAAGAUGCGGACUACCUGCACCUGGACAGAAAGACCCUAUGAAGCUUUACUGUAACUUGAAAUUGAAAUUGGACUUUAUUUGCGCAGUAUAGGUGGGAGGCGUUGAGAAUAUUCUUGCGGGAAUAUUGGAGCCAUCAGUGAGAUACCACUCUUGUAAUGUUAGAUUUCUAACUUUGAAUCAUUAUCUGGUCAAAGGACAGUUUCAGGCGGGCAGUUUGACUGGGGCGGUCGCCUCCUAAAUGGUAACGGAGGCGCACAAAGGUUUCCUCUGAACGGGUAGAAAUCGUAUCUAGAGUGUAAAGGCAUAAGGAAGCUUGACUGUGAGACCUACAAGUCGAGCAGGGACGAAAGUCGGUCUUAGUGAUCUGACGGUGCUGAGUGGAAAGGCCGUCACUCAACGGAUAAAAGUUACUCUAAGGAUAACAGGCUGAUCUCCCCCAAGAGUUCACAUCGACGGGGAGGUUUGGCACCUCGAUGUCGGCUCAUCGCAUCCUGGGGCGGUAGUACGUCCCAAGGGUUGGGCUGUUCGCCCAUGAAAGCGGUACGCGAGCUGGGUUCAGAGCGUCGUGAGACAGUUCGGUCCAUAUCCGGUGUAGGCGUUAGAAUAUUGAGAGGAGCCUUCUUUAGUACGAGAGGACCGAGAAGGACAUACCUCUGGUGUACCAGUUAUCGUGCCAACGGUAAACGCUGGGUAGCUAUGUAUGGAGAGGAUAACCGCUGAAAGCAUCUAAGUGGGAAGCCCACCUCAAGAUAAGUAUUC
This 1240-nucleotide ribosomal RNA is filed under the name metagenome. RNAcentral describes it as "bacterial LSU rRNA". It matches the Rfam family "Bacterial large subunit ribosomal RNA", at positions 1564 to 2813 of the family's 2925-position model. The record is from RNAcentral.